RNAcentral lists this ribosomal RNA (795 nucleotides) under uncultured fungus. RNAcentral describes it as "eukaryotic LSU rRNA". The stretch from base 1 to 241 matches the Rfam family "Eukaryotic small subunit ribosomal RNA", at positions 1593 to 1831 of the family's 1831-position model. Lineage: Eukaryota; Fungi. The record is from RNAcentral.
UUGCUCUUCAACGAGGAAUGCCUAGUAAGCGCAUGUCAUCAGCAUGCGUUGAUUACGUCCCUGCCCUUUGUACACACCGCCCGUCGCUACUACCGAUUGAAUGGCUGAGUGAGGCCUCCGGACUGGCCCAGGGAGGUCGGCAACGACCACCCAGGGCCGGAAAGCUGGUCAAACUCCGUCAUUUAGAGGAAGUAAAAGUCGUAACAAGGUUUCCGUAGGUGAACCUGCGGAAGGAUCAUUAAAGAGUAAGGGUGCUCAGCGCCCGACCUCCAACCCUUUGUUGUUAAAACUACCUUGUUGCUUUGGCGGGACCGCUCGGUCUCGAGCCGCCGGGGCUUCGGCCCAGGCGAGCGCCCGCCAGAGUUAAACCAAACUCUUGUUAAUAAACCGGUCGUCUGAGUUAAAUUUUUGAAUAAAUCAAAACUUUCAACAACGGAUCUCUUGGUUCUCGCAUCGAUGAAGAACGCAGCGAAAUGCGAUAAGUAAUGUGAAUUGCAGAAUUCAGUGAAUCAUCGAAUCUUUGAACGCACAUUGCGCCCCUUGGUAUUCCGAGGGGCAUGCCUGUUCGAGCGUCAUUACACCACUCAAGCACUGCUUGGUAUUGGGCGUCCGUCCCUCACGGGGCGCGCCUUAAAGACCUCGGCGAGGCCUCACCGGCUUUAGGCGUAGUAGAAUUUAUUCGAACGUCUGUCAAAGGAGAGGACUUCUGCCGACUGAAACCUUUUAUUUUUUCUAGGUUGACCUCGGAUCAGGUAGGGAUACCCGCUGAACUUAAGCAUAUCAAUAAGCGGAGGA